Cinara cedri is the source of this 217-nucleotide non-coding RNA. The record is from the annotation of a GenBank genome assembly. Lineage: Eukaryota; Metazoa; Arthropoda; Insecta; Hemiptera; Aphididae.
GGGUCGUUUAAGUGCGUGAGGAGUAAAUGAACAUAAGGGUUAGUGCAGUUCAACGCGUGAUUCACCACCACCUUCUGCACCAUUAUAGCAGCCAGCUGGUAGCGGGAAUUUCUUGUCGUAUCAGUUCGUAUCAGUAGAUUCCGAGCGCAGUUCGGUAAUACAUAAAUUGAAGUGCCGUAGUUUUCUUUGCGAUUUUCGUUUGAAUUUUAUUUCAAAA